This is a long non-coding RNA of Pongo pygmaeus (Bornean orangutan), 1110 nucleotides long. RefSeq lists it as uncharacterized. Lineage: Eukaryota; Metazoa; Chordata; Mammalia; Primates; Hominidae. The transcript has 3 exons. The record is from RefSeq and is a predicted model, not a curated record.
UUCAUCGGGCGCUCCCUGUAAGCAAGACAAGCACCCACCUGGGGUCCGAGCAGGGGUCCCGCUCGCGGUCGGGGUUGUCCGGCCCCUCCCGGCUUCUCACCUGCGCACCGCACGGUCCAGCCCUGGCGGCUGCUGGGGAUCCCUCCGAGCGCCCCCUCAGGCGUCUUCCUGCCACCGGGCGGGGGAGCUCUUUACGGGGAAACAGUUUGGGGCCCCACCACCCUUGGCGCCGCCGUUAGGAGGGUGUGAACGUAUCUAUUUUCAAAGAUACCCGAGCCCGUCACCGCCUGCAGCAGGAAGAUCUUUUUAUACAGAAACAACCAGCUAUGCCUUGGGAUCAAAAUCCAGAACAAUCAAAUGGAAAUUACAGUGAAAAUGAACAAAAGGGAAAGCAGAAAUGGAGAGAAGGAGGAGGAGAAGCAGGUGGAAAGAGAGAGCGAGAAAAAGAAGAGGAAAAUGAAAAGGAGCUGGAAGAUGAACAGGAAAAAAAAGGGAAAAGAGAAAAGAAACAAUGUUCCAAGGGAAGAUUAGUCAGUAAAUCCCUCAUGGACGCUUUCUGGGCAAAGUUUAAGUUAAACAGGUGCCCCACAAUACAAGAGAGUCUAUUACUCUCAUUUGAAUUUGGCAUGACACAUAAACAGAUGGAAGCUCUAUGAGUUGCCAAGGCUGGUCUCGAACUCCUGUCCUCAAAGGAUCCUCCCACCGUGGCCUCCAGAAGUGCUGUGAUUCCUCGCAUGAGCCAUUGUGCCUAAGAUGUUUUUUCUUUUUUCUUUUUUGAAACAGAGUCUCACUGUGCUGCACAGGCUGGAGUACAGUGGCUAGAUCUCAACUUACUGCAACUGCCACCUCCCGAGUACAAGCAAUUCUCCUGCCUCAGCUUCCUGACUCUGGCUGAGACAUUUUAUAUGACACCAUUCUCAUCAAUAAAUGGAGUUCUGAAAGGAUAAACAAGAAAAUAUUAACAAUCAUUAAUUCCAUGGAGUAGAACUAAAUGAAGGAGCACAAAGAAGUUCCUAUAUAUCCUAUUUUUACACUACUGUGGUUUUAAAGUUUUUAUAAUGGACAUUGAUUUUAUUUCAGAAAAAAGUCAAUAAAUAAAUUACCAACCUC